Molecule: non-coding RNA, 29 nt
Filed under: Homo sapiens (human)
Lineage: Eukaryota; Metazoa; Chordata; Mammalia; Primates; Hominidae
Source: RNAcentral
UUGUAGGCACCUCCGGUGAAGGUUGAUGG